ACUGAGGAAGAAUAUAAGUUAGCCUCAUAGUGACUAUGUGGAAGUCCUAACCUCGCUUGCAGACCUGACCUCUGGAUGUGACAAGGUGAGGUUCUGUGUUCACUGAUACAUCCCCUUCCUUCACCGGGCUCAUGAAAAGAAAUGCUGAAUCAGCGAAUAGAGUGAAGGAACAAUCAAGAUGAGAUGGCUGCUGCUGAUGUGAUUCUCUAGGUCACUACCUUUCUUCCUGCUGCAAAUGCUGCAUGACACUAAGCUUACAGGAUCUAGAAGCAGACUACAAAAAAAGAAGAAAUUCACUCUGAAGACUGAAGAAACACUAGGCUGAUCUUAAGUUUCCGAAAUACACUCUGUAACACUACACUGAUUCUAUGAAUCUCUUGCAAAAAGAAUCAAACCAGGACAGAGUUCAACAGAUAACUGGUCAAAUGUUUAGGAAUGUCUAUGUCCACCAAGAAUAUGGAACCAUUAAUGCCAUGCUUCAGGUAAACUUGUUACAAAAUUUAGUCUUCGAUAAAUUAGUCUCUGCAAAUGAUUUACCAUUGCUCUACAUUAGUAAGCUGAAUGUUUCACUAACAAAUAAGAAAAUAAAAUAUUUCAUGUUUUUACAGCUAACAACUUAGUAAUACCUACUCAGAGUACAUACUUCUUUAUGUACCCAUAUGAACAUACAAUGCUAUGGAAUGUAAAGAAGUAUGUAUUUUUGGUAGGCAAUAAACCACCAAGAGAGAAUUAAACUGAGCUAAAAGAAGCUCUUGCUUCUUUCUACGUGAAUGACCUUCAUAUGGUAAAUUAACCUAGUCAUGAACAGAUGACCUUUGGCAAUACUAACAGCAAAAAAAAAAAGGUUAUCUACUACUUAUAGAUAUAAACUAUCCCUAAGGUUUUUAUUUCAUGAAGGAAAAGAAGAUCCAGUGAAGUAGAUUUCAAUUAUCAUGAAACUCCUUUUAAAUCAUCUAAGUUUAAAACAUACAUCUUACAUUUUUAAAUUAGGUAUUCUCAUUAUUAAAAUUUGACUGCAAAAGGGAAAAUAGUAUUACUAGCACAAAAGAAUGAAGAAUACACACGACCUAUUUUCUGUCUCCACAAUUUAAUCUUAAGUAUAUCUCAUUAGUAGGGCUCAUUGAUUUGUACAGAAAAAUAAGAUACUAAGAGCUGGCUUCAUUCACGUAAUAAGCUAUUUCUUCUCAUUUUGAUAAAUGUAUAAUCUAUUAAUAUUAGAGGAAUUUCUGACCAAAAGUUUUGUUGUUUUAAAAAGGCUUUCUUUUUUGACAGCUAUAAACAUAGUGGCCCUUGUCCUUCCUUCUCAAGUUUAUCAGGGUCUUAACCCAAAUCUCUACUUUAAAUGUGAAGUUAAAACUUAAAAUUAAUUAAAAUGUAAGAUUUAAGCAUGAAAAAUGACAAAAUUCGGGUCCACAGCUGUAAGUCGGCAGGGUAUAUUGGUAACAGACUACCAAAUAUUUAAAAGAAAUUAAUGUAUUAUCUGUAUUAUCUUUGAAUUUGCUUUCUCCAAAGAGGGCAUGUAAAAUGAAAGCACUAUAGUCAAGAACCAAUUUAUACAUAUUGAAGAACUGUUUUUAUUGUACUAUGCAAUUACAAUUCAAUUUCUCUAAACAUGAUCAAUCCAUUGUUUAGAAAUAUCAAAAUACUUUUAUUUCACGCAGUUUGUAUAUUAUUUAUAAAAAAUUCCAAAUAAUGCUCUUAGCAAAAUUUAUAAGCAGUACCUGUUUUAAGCUACUAAUGACAAAGUCAGAAAAAAAGAAAGAGUAGUAUUCACAUAUUCUAACCAUUUCUUACUAAAAGUAUUAUUUCAACUGAAAUAUUUACACAUGUAUAAAAGCAUAAUAUUUUAAAUUUUUUGUAUCAGAAACUGAAUGGAAAUGACUGUAAGUUUAACUAUAGUUCAUUUUGUUUAAUAAGACUAGUUAAUACAAAGAUGAUUUUCAUUUUAUCAGAUUAUAAAGAAUGAGAAUGACUAUUACACAUGGCAUCAUAUGUGUUACUGCAUGUUUACUGGAAAUUAUGAAAAGCGCAAAAUUUUAAAAUUCUACACUUUCAAAGAAAUUAGUUCAAAGCUUAACUCACAUAAGCAUAGCCCUUCUGAUCAUCCACAAAACAGAAUGGCAAUGAUUCAUGUUCUAUUUGGUAACUUUACCUGUACAGGUCCUAAAUACCAAGAACUCAAAAUAUAUACCUCAAAAGUAGAGGCUCUUCUAUAAAAACACUCAAAGGGUAUUACUCUACUUGUGUUUUAUAAUAAACAGUUAUAUUGGUCAUUCUAUAGGUAUACAAGUUGUUUAACAAUCCUUCUCAAACAUCCCAGCAACUAGGAAUCUCUUUGCUAUAAUAUUAAGACUAUGUAAAUAAUCCUUAGAAAAUAAAAUGACAGGCUAUUCAUUUUUAAAAGUAAAAUUAUAUGCUGAUUCUGGUGCUUGCGAGUUUAACUUAUCUAAGAGUAUUUUCAAUCACUCUAAAAUGUCACAUCUAUCACUUAGAUCAGCUGUUCAUUUUUAACUGAGUACAUAUUAAACUCUGGGCAUCUGCUGACACUGGUAUAACUCAAACAUUUCAACUGUCUCCCUGACAGGGAUAACAGAUGCUGACAUUAUCAAAUGCUGUACUAUUUUUUUCCCAUGGCCUCUCCUUGCCCCGAUAUGGCCAGUAUAUGAAACUGAACUGCCAUCCAAAAGCACACUUGAGCAACUGGAUCUGCUAAACAGCUCCCAUAUAACUAGUAAAAAUAGAAGCCAGUGUUAUUGCUAUCUUCAGCACUUAAGUUCAGGCAGUUUAACACCUGUUUCACUUCUACUAGAAAAAAUGAUGAAAAAGAAUUGUAGUUAAUUUCACCAGCAGUAUGAUACUUACCAACCAACAGACGCAGAAUAUACUUAGUGUGAGAGUAAUUUGCAUACUGCCUGAAUUAGCGUUGACCUCCCAGUUUAGUUUAAAAUAGUAACUGUAAAGAAUAUUUCUCUACUCUAUUUCUCUGAGAGCACUUAACUUUAUAGGCAAAUUAUAAUUUAUCAAACUUUUAUUUUAUGCAAGAAGACACCCCUCUCAAGACAUUGAAAUCAACAGUAAAACCACAUUAUAACAAAAAUUUACCCUGAUUUUUCAAGUAUUAUCCACACGAUAGAUUUUAAUACUUGUAUUCAUGGAUUGUAACUAACCACCUAUUACUAAGGCGAUAAUGAGAAGUAACUAGGCAAUCUGUACCCACAAUGACAAAGAACUUAGUCAAGGAAAUAGACCUUUAAAAGAGUUAAAUUACUAAGCUAUGAUUAGUAACACUAUGUAAGCAAAAACAAAGAAAAACUGGCAUGCAUGGUAGUUCCUUUCAACACAAGUCCAAGCAAUACACUGAAUACACAUGUGAUCUAUUUAUAAAUCAAAGGGCAGAGGUACUUUCUUAAGGCCACUGAUAUUCCUACACCCAUCAACAAUUUGCUAUUAGCCCUCAACUAUAAUGCUAAAAGAAGCAGUGGCAGUAGAAGGGGGUGACUAACAGAACUCUUCCCCAACCUUUUAGCUUAACUACUUAAGUAAUCUGGUUUACUGCCUAGAGAUAAAUGGAAAACAUUACUCUAAAAUACAUCAAGGUCUAUUUGUUCCUUUAAAUACUAUUGGUUUUGAAACAGCUUAUUGUCUACAUGUAAGAAUUAAGCAAAGACUUCGGCUGUGGACAAGAUUAGAAAAAGAAAAAGAAGCAAAGAUGUUGAAAACAAAGACGUACAUUGAUCAUUCCUUAAUGCAGUAAUGUGUUAAAAGGAAAAGACUUUUAAACCAUUAAGCGCAGGAAAACAGUAGGAAAGUGACUUCAAAAUGGAAAAUUUGACAUUCAGUGACUGAAGCAUUGGUAUGAUAAUUUCUAACACUUGUAGAAAGUCCAUGACUGUAAUUUUACCAAUGAAAAGCAUUUAACUGUUUUGGAUUCCAAACUAGCAGCACUACAAUGCUUUGCUAGAGCUGGUAAAAUGGAACCAAAUCGCCUCUUCAAUGGAUUUGGUCCCCUUCAACCAGCUGUAGCUAUGCAUUGAUUACUACGGGACAACCAACGUUUUCAUUUGUGAAUAUCAAUUACUUGUCAACUAAUUUAUACUUAUUUACAUUAUGCAGACUGUGAUUAUAAUCAAAUAACUUGUUACUGUUAAUUCUACCUGGAAAAGCUAGAAUGGUUAAAGAUGUAUAUAAAAAGCUUUAUGAAAAAUGUAUGGAUGAGUUAAGGAUUUCAAAUAAAAAUGUUACUUA
This 4245-nucleotide antisense RNA is filed under the name Pongo abelii (Sumatran orangutan). The stretch from base 3955 to 4026 matches the Rfam family "mir-133 microRNA precursor family". Lineage: Eukaryota; Metazoa; Chordata; Mammalia; Primates; Hominidae. The record is from RNAcentral.